RNAcentral lists this unclassified non-coding RNA (242 nucleotides) under uncultured fungus. RNAcentral describes it as "sequence contains ITS1". The record is from RNAcentral. Lineage: Eukaryota; Fungi.
CUGAUUCUCACGGGGGAGUGUGUGCGCGUCGCGUGCUGUGUUUGCGGUACGUGCGCGCGCCGCCCCCAAACAAUCUUUUGUGCACGGUUUCACGGUCAACAAGAUGUCGCGUGUGUGUGUGUGUGUUGGCAAGCCGCGCCCCAGUGACUUGCCAACCGCGCGCGCGCAUGCGUGCGUCUUUUUGCAAUAUCUCACACCUGUACAAUCUCUGUCUAACGUGCGUCAUUACCUUUAAAUUUAUA